This 283-nucleotide ribosomal RNA is filed under the name uncultured bacterium. RNAcentral describes it as "partial 16S ribosomal RNA". It matches the Rfam family "Bacterial small subunit ribosomal RNA", at positions 524 to 798 of the family's 1533-position model. The record is from RNAcentral.
UACGUAGGGUGCAAGCGUUAAUCGGAAUUACUGGGCGUAAAGCGUGCGCAGGCGGUUUUGUAAGUCUGUCGUGAAAUCCCCGGGGCUCAACCUGGGAAUUGCGAUGGAGACUGCAAGGCUAGAAUCUGGCAGAGGGGGGUAGAAUUCCACGUGUAGCAGUGAAAUGCGUAGAGAUGUGGAGGAACACCGAUGGCGAAGGCAGCCCCCUGGGUCAAGAUUGACGCUCAUGACACGAAAGGCGUGGGGAGCAAACGAGGAUUACGAGUACCGUGAUCAAGUCCAG